RNAcentral lists this long non-coding RNA (253 nucleotides) under Musa acuminata (dwarf banana). RNAcentral describes it as "long non-coding RNA (MACU_LNC001497)". The record is from RNAcentral. Lineage: Eukaryota; Viridiplantae; Streptophyta; Magnoliopsida; Zingiberales; Musaceae.
CUAACGAACUGGUGCUCCAAUUUGAGGGACUCGGUGAGCUGGGCCAGCCGGGUGGUGGGUGCAGUGGGAGCGGCGGCGGCGGCGGUGGCGGGAGGGACGGCGGGGGAGGAGGAGGCGUCGCCGUUGGGUGCGGAGUCGAUAUCCAUGUCCAUGUCGCCGCCCAGGAGGGAUAAGGGGAGGGAAGAAGAUGGUGGAUCGACGGGGAAAUGGGGAGGGAAGACGGUGACGACGGUCUAAUGGCGGUCGAGACGGG